UUAAGGUCAUAUCCUUAUCCUUAUCUAAGGUCAUAUCCUUAUCCUUAGAAUGACCUUAACUCCUUAAACUUAAAGUCUAACAUCACACUAUCUAUCAACUUCAUUCGCAGGCACUCUAUCUUCCUUCCAUCGUUUACAAUAAUUGUCUCCACCCUCCUAAGCGUAAAUUUUAAGUUGUCUCCAACGAGCAUGUCCAAACCACCAUAAUCUUUAUUUCAUAAUUUCUCGUUGUUUGACACCACUUCUAGUGGGUUUCUAAUUGUCAAGUUGAUAACACGAUUAAUUGGGUUCUACCACAAACACACCACAACAUCCUCAUUUAUGCGACCUCUCAUGUUCCUUCUUAGUUGGAUACCAUUCAAAUCCAUACAACAUACCUAGGAUUAUGUCCACCCUAAAAAAAUUUCCUUUUUGGUUUCAAUGGGAGCUUCUUGUCAUACAAAACUCUAGUGACUGCCCUCUACUUUAUCCGCCUUGCUUUUAUACACUCGAUAACAUUAUCCUCAACACCCUCAUCCUUAUGAGUCAUAGACCCCGAGUACUUGAAGCUCUUCUUUAGUUGUAUGAUUUGCUGACCGAUGCACACUUAUACCCUUUCACUAUGUUGCUCCCCACUAAAACUGCACCAUACGUAAUUAGUCUUAGUUGUGUUGAUCCUAAUCCAUUUAUUAUCCAUGUUGUUAGUCUAUGUAUCCAACCCAACUUUCUAUUCAACCCUAUAUUCUAUAACCAAAACAAUGUCACAUGCGAAACCAUAAACCAUGGCACCUCACCUUAUAACUGAUGAUAUACCUCGCCGUAAUAAGAGAAAACAUGUAAGGGCUAAGUGUCAAAUGCUAAUGAAGGCUUACUCCAAGAGGGAAGACUUUGUGUCACAAACUACAGUUCAUACACUUAUCAUAGACCUUCGAUAUAUUCGGACCCUUCUAGAUUCUAAAGUCCUUUAUGUAUGAUUUUUCUAUAUAGAUAAACACCAUAUUGGAAGUGGAUGCUUCUCUGCCGCCCAAGCAAACGUAAACAAAAAUGAAGCACUUAUUCGCAUCAAGCACCUACAAACUUGCAGAUUCUCCAAUAAUUUUGACGUCGAUUGAUGAUUUUUAAUUUCUCGUGAAAUUGAAGGGGCGUAAAUGUUUUUGUAGAGAUAAUGAUUUGGUCGCAUCCAUCGAUGAUUGCAUAUGGAGAUGAAGAGACAUAUUAUGAAGAUGAUAAUCAACAUGAGAGUUUUCAUCUCGGAGAAUGCUACUAUGAGAUCAUGUCUGUUAAAUGAGAAGAAUCUGUUUCUUUUCUCUGA
This is a long non-coding RNA of Lactuca sativa (garden lettuce), 1291 nucleotides long. RefSeq lists it as uncharacterized. The record is from RefSeq and is a predicted model, not a curated record. NCBI's taxonomy places the organism in Eukaryota, Viridiplantae, Streptophyta, Magnoliopsida, Asterales, Asteraceae.